This 686-nucleotide long non-coding RNA is filed under the name Monodelphis domestica (gray short-tailed opossum). Its description in RNAcentral is "lncRNA (ENSMODG00000038215.1)". Lineage: Eukaryota; Metazoa; Chordata; Mammalia; Didelphimorphia; Didelphidae. The record is from RNAcentral.
GUGGGUCAUUUGGAAGGAUAACAUUUGCCUGAGAGAUGAUGAAGAAAUUGAAGUCUACCAAAGGUUCUGAUCACUUCAAUUUGCAUUACUCCAUGUUAGUCUUUCCAGGUUUUUUGGUGAUCAUCUUGUCAUUUCUUAUGGCCCAAUGUUUCCUCUUAGAUAAAAUCACCUGGAGAGAAAGAUGGCAAACCAUACCAUUAUCUGCCAAGAAAAAUCCAAAUGGGCUCACAAAGACUGAACAACAACACAUGCCAGUUGAAGAAACUGAGGUCCAGAGAGGUGAAAUGGUUGUCAGAAAGAGAAGGGAAGGAGAAGGAAAGGCAAGAAGAAAAGAAGGAAAGGUCUCACCUAAUCAGAAAUGGGUUUGCUGAAUCUGAAGACAAGAUCUUCUGAAGUUAUAGUUGAGUUAGAUCAAAAAUCUGGACUUAGUUUGUUGCUCAGGAGUAAACUCCACAAUACUCCAUAAAUCUUUGUAACUUUCCCUUUUUAGCUAUCAUCAUAACUCCUUGUCUAUUUCCAUUAAUAGUGUUAUUUGUAAGAAAAAAAUUUCAAUGUUUACUAUGUUUGAAGCUCUGUUCUAGGAACAUGGGAUUUAAAAAUGAGCACUUGAGAGAUCACCAGAUCUAAACUUUUCAUUUUAUAAAUGAAAUCUGGAUGAGUUAAUAAAUGAAAUAAACUGGAGCCCA